This 2376-nucleotide ribosomal RNA is filed under the name Escherichia coli. Its description in RNAcentral is "partial 23S ribosomal RNA". It matches the Rfam family "Bacterial large subunit ribosomal RNA", at positions 584 to 2925 of the family's 2925-position model. The record is from RNAcentral. Lineage: Bacteria; Pseudomonadati; Pseudomonadota; Gammaproteobacteria; Enterobacterales; Enterobacteriaceae.
CUUAGGCGUGUGACUGCGUACCUUUUGUAUAAUGGGUCAGCGACUUAUAUUCUGUAGCAAGGUUAACCGAAUAGGGGAGCCGAAGGGAAACCGAGUCUUAACUGGGCGUUAAGUUGCAGGGUAUAGACCCGAAACCCGGUGAUCUAGCCAUGGGCAGGUUGAAGGUUGGGUAACACUAACUGGAGGACCGAACCGACUAAUGUUGAAAAAUUAGCGGAUGACUUGUGGCUGGGGGUGAAAGGCCAAUCAAACCGGGAGAUAGCUGGUUCUCCCCGAAAGCUAUUUAGGUAGCGCCUCGUGAAUUCAUCUCCGGGGGUAGAGCACUGUUUCGGCAAGGGGGUCAUCCCGACUUACCAACCCGAUGCAAACUGCGAAUACCGGAGAAUGUUAUCACGGGAGACACACGGCGGGUGCUAACGUCCGUCGUGAAGAGGGAAACAACCCAGACCGCCAGCUAAGGUCCCAAAGUCAUGGUUAAGUGGGAAACGAUGUGGGAAGGCCCAGACAGCCAGGAUGUUGGCUUAGAAGCAGCCAUCAUUUAAAGAAAGCGUAAUAGCUCACUGGUCGAGUCGGCCUGCGCGGAAGAUGUAACGGGGCUAAACCAUGCACCGAAGCUGCGGCAGCGACACUGUGUGUUGUUGGGUAGGGGAGCGUUCUGUAAGCCUGCGAAGGUGUGCUGUGAGGCAUGCUGGAGGUAUCAGAAGUGCGAAUGCUGACAUAAGUAACGAUAAAGCGGGUGAAAAGCCCGCUCGCCGGAAGACCAAGGGUUCCUGUCCAACGUUAAUCGGGGCAGGGUGAGUCGACCCCUAAGGCGAGGCCGAAAGGCGUAGUCGAUGGGAAACAGGUUAAUAUUCCUGUACUUGGUGUUACUGCGAAGGGGGGACGGAGAAGGCUAUGUUGGCCGGGCGACGGUUGUCCCGGUUUAAGCGUGUAGGCUGGUUUUCCAGGCAAAUCCGGAAAAUCAAGGCUGAGGCGUGAUGACGAGGCACUACGGUGCUGAAGCAACAAAUGCCCUGCUUCCAGGAAAAGCCUCUAAGCAUCAGGUAACAUCAAAUCGUACCCCAAACCGACACAGGUGGUCAGGUAGAGAAUACCAAGGCGCUUGAGAGAACUCGGGUGAAGGAACUAGGCAAAAUGGUGCCGUAACUUCGGGAGAAGGCACGCUGAUAUGUAGGUGAAGUCCCUCGCGGAUGGAGCUGAAAUCAGUCGAAGAUACCAGCUGGCUGCAACUGUUUAUUAAAAACACAGCACUGUGCAAACACGAAAGUGGACGUAUACGGUGUGACGCCUGCCCGGUGCCGGAAGGUUAAUUGAUGGGGUCAGCGCAAGCGAAGCUCUUGAUCGAAGCCCCGGUAAACGGCGGCCGUAACUAUAACGGUCCUAAGGUAGCGAAAUUCCUUGUCGGGUAAGUUCCGACCUGCACGAAUGGCGUAAUGAUGGCCAGGCUGUCUCCACCCGAGACUCAGUGAAAUUGAACUCGCUGUGAAGAUGCAGUGUACCCGCGGCAAGACGGAAAGACCCCGUGAACCUUUACUAUAGCUUGACACUGAACAUUGAGCCUUGAUGUGUAGGAUAGGUGGGAGGCUUUGAAGUGUGGACGCCAGUCUGCAUGGAGCCGACCUUGAAAUACCACCCUUUAAUGUUUGAUGUUCUAACGUUGACCCGUGAUCCGGGUUGCGGACAGUGUCUGGUGGGUAGUUUGACUGGGGCGGUCUCCUCCUAAAGAGUAACGGAGGAGCACGAAGGUUGGCUAAUCCUGGUCGGACAUCAGGAGGUUAGUGCAAUGGCAUAAGCCAGCUUGACUGCGAGCGUGACGGCGCGAGCAGGUGCGAAAGCAGGUCAUAGUGAUCCGGUGGUUCUGAAUGGAAGGGCCAUCGCUCAACGGAUAAAAGGUACUCCGGGGAUAACAGGCUGAUACCGCCCAAGAGUUCAUAUCGACGGCGGUGUUUGGCACCUCGAUGUCGGCUCAUCACAUCCUGGGGCUGAAGUAGGUCCCAAGGGUAUGGCUGUUCGCCAUUUAAAGUGGUACGCGAGCUGGGUUUAGAACGUCGUGAGACAGUUCGGUCCCUAUCUGCCGUGGGCGCUGGAGAACUGAGGGGGGCUGCUCCUAGUACGAGAGGACCGGAGUGGACGCAUCACUGGUGUUCGGGUUGUCAUGCCAAUGGCACUGCCCGGUAGCUAAAUGCGGAAGAGAUAAGUGCUGAAAGCAUCUAAGCACGAAACUUGCCCCGAGAUGAGUUCUCCCUGACUCCUUGAGAGUCCUGAAGGAACGUUGAAGACGACGACGUUGAUAGGCCGGGUGUGUAAGCGCAGCGAUGCGUUGAGCUAACCGGUACUAAUGAACCGUGAGGCUUAACCUUACAACGCCGAAGGUGU